This 203-nucleotide ribosomal RNA is filed under the name uncultured bacterium. Its description in RNAcentral is "partial 16S ribosomal RNA". It matches the Rfam family "Bacterial small subunit ribosomal RNA", at positions 524 to 725 of the family's 1533-position model. The record is from RNAcentral.
UACGUAGGGUGCAGGCGUUAAUCGGAAUUACUGGGCGUAAAGCGCGUGCAGGCGGAUUGGUAUGUGCCGUGUGAAAGCUCUCAGCUUGCCUGGGAGAGGUCGCGGUAGACAGCCGAUCUGGAGGCUCGGAGAGGUCAGUGGAAUUCCCGGUGUAGUGGUGAAUGCGUAGAUAUCGGGAGGAACACCAGUGGCGAGCAAGCGGC